GAGUAAUGUCUGGGAAACUGCCUGAUGGAGGGGGAUAACUACUGGAAACGGUGGCUAAUACCGCAUAACGUCGCAAGACCAAAGAGGGGGACCUUCGGGCCUCUUGCCAUCAGAUGUGCCCAGAUGGGAUUAGCUUGUUGGUGAGGUAACGGCUCACCAAGGCGACGAUCCCUAGCUGGUCUGAGAGGAUGACCAGCCACACUGGAACUGAGACACGGUCCAGACUCCUACGGGAGGCAGCAGUGGGGAAUAUUGCACAAUGGGCGCAAGCCUGAUGCAGCCAUGCCGCGUGUAUGAAGAAGGCCUUCGGGUUGUAAAGUACUUUCAGCGGGGAGGAAGGUGUUGCGGUUAAUAACCGCAGCAAUUGACGUUACCCGCAGAAGAAGCACCGGCUAACUCCGUGCCAGCAGCCGCGGUAAUACGGAGGGUGCAAGCGUUAAUCGGAAUUACUGGGCGUAAAGCGCACGCAGGCGGUCUGUCAAGUCGGAUGUGAAAUCCCCGGGCUCAACCUGGGAACUGCAUUCGAAACUGGCAGGCUUGAGUCUUGUAGAGGGGGGUAGAAUUCCAGGUGUAGCGGUGAAAUGCGUAGAGAUCUGGAGGAAUACCGGUGGCGAAGGCGGCCCCCUGGACAAAGACUGACGCUCAGGUGCGAAAGCGUGGGGAGCAAACAGGAUUAGAUACCCUGGUAGUCCACGCCGUAAACGAUGUCUACUUGGAGGUUGUGCCCUUGAGGCGUGGCUUCCGGAGCUAACGCGUUAAGUAGACCGCCUGGGGAGUACGGCCGCAAGGUUAAAACUCAAAUGAAUUGACGGGGGCCCGCACAAGCGGUGGAGCAUGUGGUUUAAUUCGAUGCAACGCGAAGAACCUUACCUGGUCUUGACAUCCACGGAAGUUUUCAGAGAUGAGAAUGUGCCUUCGGGAACCGUGAGACAGGUGCUGCAUGGCUGUCGUCAGCUCGUGUUGUGAAAUGUUGGGUUAAGUCCCGCAACGAGCGCAACCCUUAUCCUUUGUUGCCAGCGGUUAGGCCGGGAACUCAAAGGAGACUGCCAGUGAUAAACUGGAGGAAGGUGGGGAUGACGUCAAGUCAUCAUGGCCCUUACGACCAGGGCUACACACGUGCUACAAUGGCGCAUACAAAGAGAAGCGACCUCGCGAGAGCAAGCGGACCUCAUAAAGUGCGUCGUAGUCCGGAUUGGAGUCUGCAACUCGACUCCAUGAAGUCGGAAUCGCUAGUAAUCGUGGAUCAGAAUGCCACGGUGAAUACGUUCCCGGGCCUUGUACACACCGCCCGUCACACCAUGGGAGUGGGUUGCAAAAGAAGUAGGUAGCUUAACCUUCGGGAGGGCGCUUACCACUUUGUGAUUCAUGACUGGGGUGAAGUCGUAACAAGGUAACCGUAGGGGAACCUGCGGUUGGA
This 1417-nucleotide ribosomal RNA is filed under the name Salmonella enterica subsp. enterica serovar Bahati. RNAcentral's name for it is "bacterial SSU rRNA". It matches the Rfam family "Bacterial small subunit ribosomal RNA". The record is from RNAcentral. Lineage: Bacteria; Pseudomonadati; Pseudomonadota; Gammaproteobacteria; Enterobacterales; Enterobacteriaceae.